RNAcentral lists this transfer RNA (70 nucleotides) under Camelus bactrianus (Bactrian camel). It matches the Rfam family "tRNA". Rfam says of the family: Transfer RNA (tRNA) molecules are approximately 80 nucleotides in length. Their secondary structure includes four short double-helical elements and three loops (D, anti-codon, and T loops). Lineage: Eukaryota; Metazoa; Chordata; Mammalia; Artiodactyla; Camelidae. The record is from Rfam by way of RNAcentral. RNAcentral also lists the same sequence under 1 other name.
GGGUAUAGCUCAGUGGUACAGUGCGUGCUUAGCAUACACAAGGUCCUGGGUUCAAUCCCUAGUAUGUCCA